AGAAGGGAGCAAAACGGGAAAACAAACGCAAACCACCACCAAGAACAAAAGCGAUCGGGGAAACUAAAGAAAACGGAGAAAAACAAAAUACAAACCGGAAUGAAAACAAAACGCUGGGAAACCCUGAAAAUGAAAGUUCAUGGUGACAGACCAGAUUAUGCCGAGAUGUGACUACUGAGAGCGGUGCGUGGACUCUGCUGCUCUAGAAAGUGUGAUGUAUUCCUGUGCCUGACCCUGACCCAUCUAGGCAUGGACUCCACUAGACCCCUGAAGGUGUGCUGUGGAAUCUGGCAUCAAGAUGUUAGCAGCAGAUCCUCCAACUCCUGUAAGUUGCGAGGUGGGGCAUCCAUAAAUUGGACUUGUUUGUCCAGCACAUCCCACAGAUGCUCACCUCUUUUUUAUUAUCCUCCAGCAUUCUCUGAUGUGUUACCAUUCUGUUUCUAGGAUGUUUUAUAUUUUUAAUAAAGUAAAAUAGCCAAUUUUUUUGAUACCUCCCACAAAUGCUUAUCCAUUUAAAUACCGAGGCAAUUUCUGCGAUGUACAACCCCAAAUCAGAAGAAGUUGGGAUGGUAUGGAAAAUGCAAGUUAGAAAUCAGUGUUUAUUAAAUUUACUUUGACUUUUAUUUCAUUGCAGACAAUAAAUCCAAGAUAUUUCA
Molecule: long non-coding RNA, 656 nt
Organism: Trichomycterus rosablanca
Lineage: Eukaryota; Metazoa; Chordata; Actinopteri; Siluriformes; Trichomycteridae
Exons: 3
Source: RefSeq, a predicted model, not a curated record